GACAGAAUAAUGAAGAACUUGACAUGCAUGGUGGAAGUUGAUUGAGACUAUCAUUUCUUCGAGAGGUCCAGCGACUAUAUACUCGCAAGAAGGAUAUGGUAUGGAAUAGCUUUCUACACCUCUGGGCUGGCAGAUUUGUAAGAUUGGAAGUUGUUUCAGUGUGGAUUGAGAUGGACACUUUGUAUGGUCUUGUAAAAUUUGCUUUUGAAGUCACAAAAAACCCGUGCAAUAUGUUGGCUGGAUUGCUAGAUUGAUGUAGGAA
Ruditapes philippinarum (Manila clam) is the source of this 262-nucleotide long non-coding RNA. RefSeq lists it as uncharacterized. Lineage: Eukaryota; Metazoa; Mollusca; Bivalvia; Venerida; Veneridae. The record is from RefSeq and is a predicted model, not a curated record. The transcript has 2 exons.